UACGUAGGGAGCAAGCGUUGUCCGGAAUCAUUGGGCGUAAAGCGCGCGUAGGCGGCCCUGUAAGUCCGUUGUGAAAGUCAAAGGCUCAACCUUUGAAAGCCGAUGGAUACUGCAGGGCUAGAGUCCGGAAGAGGCGAGUGGAAUUCCUGGUGUAGCGGUGGAAUGCGCAGAUAUCAGGAGGAACACCAAUAGCGAAGGCAGCUCGCUGGGACGGUACUGACGCUAAGGCGCGAAAGCUAGGGGAGCAAACGGG
RNAcentral lists this ribosomal RNA (253 nucleotides) under uncultured bacterium. RNAcentral's name for it is "partial 16S ribosomal RNA". It matches the Rfam family "Bacterial small subunit ribosomal RNA", at positions 524 to 776 of the family's 1533-position model. The record is from RNAcentral.